RNAcentral lists this small RNA (136 nucleotides) under Pseudomonas borbori. Its description in RNAcentral is "Pseudomonas rpsL leader". It matches the Rfam family "Pseudomonas rpsL leader". Lineage: Bacteria; Pseudomonadati; Pseudomonadota; Gammaproteobacteria; Pseudomonadales; Pseudomonadaceae. The record is from RNAcentral.
CGGCGGGGCUGUAGCUUGACGGGGUGCGCGAGUCUCAUUAGACUCAUGCACCCCUAAAUUUGGCAGGGUAUGUGCCCUGCCAAAUUGCUUUUGUUGAAAAUAAAUAGCGUCGAAAGACAACAGUGGAGCUAGUAGA